AUAAAUGUUGCUUUUCGGCUAAUUUUUGUUAUUUAUUAAAUGCAAAUCUUAAAAUAUUUGAGCAAAAAGAAAUAUGGGUUCAUAUCUUUGAAAAGCAAUAAGUCAUUCACUCAAUUUUAUAAAAUGUGCUAAAUUUUCAAAUAUUCAAAUGUCACUGGAGGCACAAGCGCAAUCCCAGCAGUUAAUAAAGCAUAUGAACGGUGACGGUGAUACUAAAUUGACUAAAAAAUUUAGAAAAAUUGUAAAUUCAGAAUUAGAGUUUAUAGUCCCACAUCCUCCGCAAACAAAUGUGGCAGAAUUACUAAAUCCGCAGUCGUACCAGCUCGGAAGCGAUGUACACCCAAACCCAACGAAUCAAUACAACAGUUCUAUGCGAAUGCAUAUAAUGCCAAAUUGUGGAAUAUCAAUUGAAGCUGAGUCAUCUGAUCUGGCGGAGUCAAUCAAUAAAAUGAAGAAUAUACCAGAGGGAGUUUUGCACAAUGAUAUUGAAAGCAAAAUUAACAGGGUCUAUGAUGCGAAUAAUAAAAUAUAUACAGAUCUAACAAACACCUCAAUCGACACAGCUUCCGCCACCUCCUCAGUAGCAGCGAUAUCUAACUCGAAUACCACUGAUAUUAAUGAAGUUAUGAAAAAAAGUUACUUAGACACUUUUCGAAACUCAUAUGCCGAAUAUGGUUCAUUAACUUCAAACACUAUUAAGAAGCCAAGUCUCAACAUUCUGCAACAUCUUUUUUGUAUUCCAACAAGUACUUUGGAUUCUGGAAUGUCUUCUGCAUCGGCUGUAGCGGAAGUUCUUUUACGACAGCCGAACACCGUUACCCAAAAUAUGCAAAAAGUAGAUGAGAUAGCAAGCAAUCAAGAGCUCGAGCAAGAGUUAAAUCGCAAUCGAGAACUUUUAUCCUACGUAUUUAAUAAUAACAUGCUGUCUCACCAGAAGUUCUCACAGCACCCAUUGUUAUCUCGACAUUUUGCUGAAUUUGUACAGCCUAAGUUAACUGAGCGGGAACCAGAAUCAGAAAGUGUCCUCGAACGCAAAACACAUAUGAUUGAUUUUUCGGGGUCAAAGAAGCUAAGUAUUCGGCAAGAGGAUCUCCCUCCAACCCCAUCUUCGCAGGAUAAUAACAAUAACAAUGAGAUGCUGAAUGACGUAGAAAGUGCAUUAAGAUUUGGAGAAGAUCUUAUUUUAGAUUUUCCCCAUCUUCAACAAAUUCACAGCAAUCGGGGGCAACAAAUUGGGGAACCAGAAGAUACUUUUAAAUCAAACAGCACAGAACAUUCCUCAAAGCGAGGUAAAACCCCAAAGGAUCACCUGAAGUCAACCUGUAAUUUAUUUAAGGAGCACAAAAUCCUGCUUGCUGAUGUGAAAAGAAGCCUAGAACAACUUACAUUACUUUCUGGUCAAUUCCGGGAUAACGUCAGUGUACGUCACCGUCAAGAUGCCUCUAAAACCACCAAUUCGUCUCUUGAAGCAACUGUACGUCGCCAAUUAAAUGGAAACUGCAAGAAAAUUGAAGACAUCUUGGACCAAAUAAAGCGACUUCAUCAUCAAUGGAAUAGUGCAGAGCUCUAUUAUCUGCGCAGCUUGCAACGCUUAGGACUCAGUUCAGAGGAUGGUGCUGGUUUUAGUUCUACGCCAACACAUACUAUAAUGGCACUGGCUGCCAUUGCGUUGUCCGUAGAAUGUGAGCUUAAACCUAAAAUAUACGAUACCCAAAUUGACUCCAGCGACCUAAAGCAGCAAGUAAACACAAGUGAGUCUGAAUUUGUAUCAACUAUAGAAAAACCCAAAACGCUACAUGAUAUAGAGAAUAUAAUCCUACAAAAAGCUUCAACCGUGCUUAUACAUCAAGGGAAUCUGUCCAAUAAUACGCUCAAUGGUUGCAGUGAUAGUGAUAAUAGCGAAGGAGAAAAAUCAAUACCAUCGCCCACGUGCAUAUGGCAUCCGAAAAACCGAGACACUCGAUUUAAGGAAGAAGACGAAAAUUGUAGCACUGCUGCUGAAAUAAUUUUGGAGUACGCAUCUAAAACAAAUUCUUUACAAAUUCCUGAUCGUUUUACUAAUACUAGUGCAAAGGUCCGGGCGAAUAUUUCAGAUUCUAUUGAAAGCUAUCGUGCAUUGAAUAUGAGUCCACUAUUAUCGUUUAAAAAUAGCAGAGACAGUUUAGCUGUUUCAAAUGUCAACGAAUCUGGCUAUUUUGCGGAGAUCCAGUUUCCUGCAGCACCUUCUACGCCACCGACAAGCAGUAAUAGUAGCUGCUCGACUGGAACUAUUCAUGUUACAUGUCCGUUAAAUAACAAUCGAAGAAAAUCUAGAUACGCACGUCGCAUCGAAACGCCGACAACGUCUUCUCAAAAAACAACUUUAUUAAAGGGUGCAAGUAUUCAGGAAUAUUCUCGCAGCCACCAAACAGGAAGUGUUUAUAACGUAAUAGAUGCUACUUUACCCAUACCAUCAUCAAUUACAACCGCAAUAACAGGAGCGACAUCUACACCUUCUCCUCCAAUUGUUCAAGCCGCAUCUUCGGCUAUUGCCACCGUAACCGCACUGCAAGAACGUGCCCUAACUAAUAUGUUCAAAGCUCGACUGAGCGCUUUGACGGCAGCUGCAGGUAUCGACAACGGAGGUGGAGGCCUUGCCAGCGACAAAUGUGAAGGUGAACCGGUACCAGAUGCUCCGUAUGAUCUAAGCAUUGGAACCAAGCUUAAAAACAUAAACUUGGAUUCAAAAAACUCAUCGAAUACCCAAUCUAUCGACUGUAAAGAUAGCUCAAAUGAUAAAAAGAAACCACAUAUCAAGAAACCGUUGAAUGCGUUUAUGCUUUACAUGAAGGAGAUGAGAGCUAAAGUAGUCGCCGAAUGUACGCUCAAAGAAUCAGCCGCAAUCAAUCAAAUUUUAGGGCGACGGGUAAUAACAUGAAAAAGUGCCGUGCUAGAUUUGGACUGGACCAGCAAAAUCAAUGGUGCAAGCCAUGCAGUCCCAGUUUGGGUGUCAUUUCAACUGUAAGCAACAGUGGCGGCAGCGUUGGCAUCGGCAGUGGUGCAGCAGUCAGCAGCAUAAGUGUU
Molecule: unclassified non-coding RNA, 3063 nt
Filed under: Drosophila pseudoobscura pseudoobscura
Lineage: Eukaryota; Metazoa; Arthropoda; Insecta; Diptera; Drosophilidae
Description: GA14746
Source: RNAcentral